UCCGGUAGUGAUGGCGGAGGGGUUCCACGCGUACCCAUCCCGAACACGACCGUUAAGCCCUCCAGCGCCGAUGGUACUUGGACCGCAGGGUCCUGGGAGAGUAGGACGCCGCCGGGC
Molecule: ribosomal RNA, 117 nt
Filed under: Cohnella zeiphila
Lineage: Bacteria; Bacillati; Bacillota; Bacilli; Caryophanales; Paenibacillaceae
Source: RNAcentral